UGGGGAAUAUUGGACAAUGGACCGAAAGUCUGAUCCAGCAAUUCUGUGUGCACGAUGAAGUUUUUCGGAAUGUAAAGUGCUUUCAGUUGGGAAGAAAGAAAUGACGGUACCAACAGAAGAAGUGACGGCUAAAUACGUGCCAGCAGCCGCGGUAAUACGUAUGUCACGAGCGUUAUCCGGAUUUAUUGGGCGUAAAGCGCGUCUAGGUGGUUAUGUAAGUCUGAUGUGAAAAUGCAGGGCUCAACUCUGUAUUGCGUUGGAAACUGUAUAACUAGAGUACUGGAGAGGUAAGCGGAACUACAAGUGUAGAGGUGAAAUUCGUAGAUAUUUGUAGGAAUGCCGAUGGGGAAGCCAGCUUACUGGACAGAUACUGACGCUAAAGCGCGAAAGCGUGGGUAGCAAACAGG
Molecule: ribosomal RNA, 407 nt
Filed under: uncultured Fusobacterium sp.
Lineage: Bacteria; Fusobacteriati; Fusobacteriota; Fusobacteriia; Fusobacteriales; Fusobacteriaceae
Description: bacterial SSU rRNA
Rfam family: Bacterial small subunit ribosomal RNA
Source: RNAcentral